UGCCGCUGCCCUUACGGGCGUUUCCUCCCUAGACUUGACACCGCGCUGUGGCAACGCAGUGCGGUUUUUUUUGCCCGCG
This 79-nucleotide small RNA is filed under the name Aurantimonas sp. Leaf443. Its description in RNAcentral is "Makes More Granules Regulator RNA (mmgR)". It matches the Rfam family "Makes More Granules Regulator RNA (mmgR)". From Rfam's summary of the family: SuhB later renamed mmgR (makes more granules regulator) was a putative non-coding RNA found multiple times in the Agrobacterium tumefaciens genome and related alpha-proteobacteria. Other non-coding RNAs uncovered in the same analysis include: speF, ybhL, metA, and serC. Several studies inSinorhizobium meliloti showed that suhB element is indeed a non-coding RNA:firstly it was detected on Northern blot and called Sm8RNA, secondly in an RNAseq study referred to as SmelC689. Lineage: Bacteria; Pseudomonadati; Pseudomonadota; Alphaproteobacteria; Hyphomicrobiales; Aurantimonadaceae. The record is from Rfam by way of RNAcentral.